GUCUAUAGCCAUACCACUCUGAGUGUUCCUUGUGAGAAGCUAAGCAGAGUUGAACCUGGUUAGUACUUGGAUGGGAGACCACCUGGGAAUACCGGGUGCUGUGGACU
Molecule: ribosomal RNA, 107 nt
Filed under: Microcebus murinus (gray mouse lemur)
Lineage: Eukaryota; Metazoa; Chordata; Mammalia; Primates; Cheirogaleidae
Source: RNAcentral